Molecule: long non-coding RNA, 1043 nt
Organism: Talpa occidentalis (Iberian mole)
Lineage: Eukaryota; Metazoa; Chordata; Mammalia; Eulipotyphla; Talpidae
Exons: 3
Source: RefSeq, a predicted model, not a curated record
UUGGCUCUGAGGCUCAGCAUUCCACCCGCCUGUUGGAAUCAAGUCCUCGCCGAACCCUCUCUGACUGCAGUAGAACCAGAAACUGCAGUAGUUUGGGCUGCCCAGGGUUCUUUUUCGCUCAUUCUGGCUUCCUCUCCCCUCUUCUCACCCCUCACUCCCGCGAUCUCCUGCCCACCCCCUCCAUACUCUUUCUCGAAUCUGUGGGCCGAGCUGGCACCCAGUGACCGGGCCAGGUCACAGCACCCGACACGAGGCACCUCUAUCUUCACAGAACAUCAGCCUGAAUUCUCGGUGACCCCUACAUCCAGGCGCAGCACCACAGGGCUGACCUUGCAGAGCCACCAGGGUUGCAGAGGAGAGGGGGAGGCGUCCGGCGUCCCAGGACGGAGGCCGCAGGCAUGUGAUGGGCUGGUUGGUUCCUCCAGGCACAACUUCUGACCCCCUUGAGGAGUGUCAUGUAAAUUUUACAGUGUCGUGAGCAUGUUCAUGAAAUGGAAUUUUACCUUAAACCUUGAAGCAUAACUUCACCUCCAGUUCUCACAACUUGCUCCCACACUUCAGCACAUCAUUUGGACCUCCUCCACCCAGUGUUGUGCCUCUUCUUCCUGCAUUUGCAGACCACAUCCCACAAGUCCUGCCAUACAUGGCUCCCCCCGGAGUGAAAACUUAAGCGGCCGCAGUAGGAUUUCUUCACAGAAUCAGGCCCGCUCACUUCUAGUCACAUAAACCAUGGAGAUUUGAAUGACUAACUGUGGCGCCCAGUUUUACAUGGAGCUAAAAUGAUCAGUUGAUGAUUGAUUUUCUGAAGUGUGGAAUUGGUUGCCUUCUCCCGACGAAUUUCUUGAGCCUUCUAAAAGCUCCGACCUGCUCUCCGUGUGCUAAACAUUCACGAUAGGGGACAUGUUUCUGCCACACGAAAGGAUCCCCUGCAAGGUCUCGAGAACAAUGGCUGGAGGAGAUGGAAAAGGAAAAAGACUAUUCUGUUCUUUCCUCCCACUUCAAUCUGCAGUGACCCCUCACAGCACAGCGGGUGCACUUGUACU